ACCAGCCUCUGCCGCUCGCAAGGGCAGGCACAGGAGCCGUGGUUGGCAGAGGGCAGCGCCUCUCCCAACCGCGGCUCCUGUGCCUGCCCUUGCAAGUGGCAGAGGCUGG
Non-coding RNA from Podarcis lilfordi (Lilford's wall lizard), 109 nucleotides. The record is from the annotation of a GenBank genome assembly. Lineage: Eukaryota; Metazoa; Chordata; Lepidosauria; Squamata; Lacertidae.